Molecule: long non-coding RNA, 22129 nt
Organism: Gallus gallus (chicken)
Lineage: Eukaryota; Metazoa; Chordata; Aves; Galliformes; Phasianidae
Exons: 2
Source: RefSeq, a predicted model, not a curated record
CCAGGAUAGCAGCGCUACACAAACUGCCUGCCAGUCUCUCACCUUGCCCUUAUUAUGAAAAUUAUGCAUUUUUUUCAUGCGUAUGCAGAAGGGCUGCUUUCAGAUACAGGCUCAGAAAUGCCAACUUUAAACACUUUAAAUUUUUUAUGCAAGUCUUGUUUCAUAGAGGUGACAACUGCCAGUUACAAUUGUGCAUUUUAAGAUUCUGUAGUAGAGCAAACUCAGUUUGUUCCCUUGAACUUUCAGAGUGCAUGAAAAAGCCAAUCCAUUUCAUAACACAGAAAUGGGUUUAGCUCAACAAGGGUGGACAAGACCCAUUGUAACGCAUGGUCAGGGCCAUCAGCUUUGUCCACAUUUGUCACUUCUCUUACUCAAGGAUGCAUCAAGAGAUGGGAUCGUGGGAACUACUGAGUUCCUGAAAGCAAAAGGGCACAGCUAGGAAUAACAGCCACUGUAAACUCAUGGAACUUAUUUUAAAAUAAGUCUGCAGGGUCUAGAGUCAGCCGAAAGUGGUUUUGCAAGGGGUUACAGGAGACUUAGGGAAACAAAGCAUCUGUGCCCAAAGGAACCACGGAAGGGUGAGACUUUGGAGCUGUGCCUCAACAGGAAUUAGCAGUGCCUUGUUUAUUGCACUGAGCACUGAAGCCCUGAAGAGAGCCCAGAUGAAUCUAUCUGGUGGGAGAUUCUGCCUAAGGGAAGGAAUUUAGCACUUAAAAAUAGACAUUAAUUAACAAAAAAAUAGUACUGUCUGAUUGUUUUGGAAAAUAAGCUGCCUGAUGAUGGACAAAUAUUUUGGGGAAGACGUAGAAGAUGCUGCAGUGCAAAUAUUAGGAUUUUCCAAAUGCUUCGGAGUUCAUAUUUUCACUAAAAUCUUGUAGAGGGAGAAAAAUUAAGAACAGAAUUCAGAGAAACGUAACAAGAAAGGGGACAUUUAGAAAACAUUCAGAGAAACAGUCUGAAAUCACCUUGGCAUUUGAAACACUGGAUGCGACAUUUUCCAAAAAUUAGGCAAACAUAUAAGAUCAGGUUUCCUGAUACGCGUUCUUGUGUGAAUGGAAAUCAGAUUCUUAACAGUUAUACUAAUGUAGUUUAUUCUUGAUUUCCGACAUGUGAGUCCUUUUCAAGGUACAUUUAAACUUAGUUUCACAAUAGAGGAGGUCAAGAUAGAAAUACAGCUUCACCUCCCAGUUGUUCUGCCACUUGACUUGUAUUUAAAGCUACUAUUUGUUGCCAUGAUGCAGUCUUUUGAAAGAUGAUCACUGUACCUGAAAUGUAGAUAGUUAUAAAAAUGGCAUUAAUUUGCUUAGAGCGAGAGAUUUUCACAGGAGAGCAACUAGCAGAAAACAUUAUGAAAAUGUCCAAGUGGACUGGUAAUUGAGUUGAUUAGUAUGACCUUGGUUAUGAAGGUAAUAGAAGAAUGAACGGUGCUUAGACUGAGUUAUAACCCUGCUACCUUGCUGGGGAUGCAGUGAGGCUAGUAAUUUGCUCAGGGUGAGCCCCAUAGCCCUGAUCUCCCUGCCGGGGCGAUGCACCCCCAGCAGCAGGGCUCAGCUCCUGUCCCAGCACAGCUCAGCACUGGCAUUUGCUGCUGCAAACUGAUUGCUGUGCAAGGUUCCUUGAUCAAUUAGGCAAAUGAAACAUAUAUUUGUAAGAAAACUUGAAUAACGAAAAAUUUAGUUUCAAUGCAGAAGAUACACGUCAAUGAAUUAAACAUGUCAAAGAUGUCUUCAUUUAUCUAAAUCCCAGCACAUCCAACCACACUAUCCUGGCACUGCUUUUGAAUCCAUCACGUCUCAGCCCUGCAGUAAGGCUCUAACAAGUAAAGGUUAGUCCCACAGACUGGGGACUCUUUUUGUUCAGAGACUGAUUCAGUCAACGACCUGAAUGCUUGAGUGCUGUGACUGCCUUUCUUUCAUUAGCCCAUCUGUAAUUAUUUAAAGAUAUUUUAAGCAGCUUAACUUUAGAGGUGAAGACAAGAACAGCAGUAACAAGAAAACAAACGCAAGCCCACCACCACCAAACAAUUAGACAAAGAAAGUAAGGAAACAAAAUUCUAAUAGCAGUACUUGGUAUUCAUGCCCCUGCUGGUAACCUGGUUGUGAUAUAAAUUAUCUAUUAGGCAUCCACAGUGUAUGUGCUGUGAGAAAAGAACUCACAGACAGGAAGAUACAGAAGCUCUGUGAGCAAUCUUUAAAUACUAAACAUCAGAAAAUAUGUCUUGUUUUUUUUUUGAAACAACAAACCAAGGUGAGGACCAAAAGCAAUGUCUUCAAAGUCAGCAUAAUUUAAAUAUUGCCCCUUUGCUUCUUCCCCUGACCAGCUGUCUUGCUAUUUUAUUGCAGGUUUCACAAACAAAUAACUGGCCAAGGUUCCCCAGAAGGAAAAUGCCUGCAUAAAAGAUUCAAUUAAAUUGAAAUUACUCAAUUCAGACGGCGUGUGUGCAAAGCAGACACUGCUGUACUACGAAACCAGGCACAGAUAUUCAGCUACAAAUUUCCAUGCUGGACCUCCAAUUCAGGCCCUAUUUCCCUACAGUGUACAAAUCAGAGCUCUUCUGGUUCCAUAGCGGUGAGGAUGUCAUCGUACUCUUUUUCUUACUCUUUUUCUUCUGAGGAACUGUGGGAGGGUGCAAAGAGGAGCUUAGGAAAGAAUUCUGUAUUUUCUCUUAGAAACUAAAAGCAUUUCAUUUUUUUUCUCAUUUAUUUAAAUACCAAGGUGAAAUAGGAUGAGAAGUAGGGUCAGAAAAUAAUCCAAGACAUAGAGAUAACUGUAAUUUCGGUAAUACUCCAAAAACAGCCAUUUCAGGGCUGGGGGGUAAAGAUGUGUUUUGUGUGUGUGUGUGUGUACAUCUAAAUGUGUAAGAAACUUACUACAAUAUACAGCUCCAAAAUCAGGUGUUAUGUAUUCGGCUCUCCUUUCACAGAGCUGAAAUCAAACUGAAUAUUUAAUCCUAAGUAUAAACUAAUGACCUGAUCUGGAAUCACGUAGCAUGAAGACAGAUUACUGUUGGCAUUCAGAGUCCCACAGAAAUCCCUGGGACAUUGUAUGAGCCUGCCUCUAUGCCACACAGUGCUAAAUCAGGGCUCAAAAAAUAAUGCUGGAACAGACUGAGAUAUUCAUUUGCAGGUACCAUACUUAACAGCAUGCCUCCCCUAACAUUCCUCUUGUUUUGAAGGUUGGUAGAUCUAGAUGAUAUUUCCCAUACCCAAAGCAAUAUGCAGGGUGUUCAAGUAAUAAUGUGCUUUCAUUAUAAAGUUUUGCCGUGGAAGGCUUAUAACUCCAAAUGAAAUAAAACCAACUGAAGCCAAACCUUGAGCUGUUUAUAGAAGCUUGCAAGUGACAAGCAGGGCUUGGGCAAGGACUGGCCUGUGCUUUCCUAUGCUGAACUAAUUAUUGCACCAUGAACUCUGGACGAAAUCUCUGCCCUGUCAGACUGAUGGGAGCUUUGCCACCGGCUCCAGUACUGCCCAGGGUACACCCUCUGGCAUAGGCUCCGUGCCACAGCCUAAUGCAAUCUGCACUGUGAGCCCCAUAAGUUCAUAAUCUCAAAAGCCAAAAAUUAGCAGGCCAGCUUGUAAUCACCCAAUCUUUCUCUUCUCAGAGGGCCAGCUGUGUUAGUGCUGCUGGGUACCAAAACACAAGCAAGGCCCCGCACAGCUUCGGCAGCACUGACAAUAAUUUAUUAGUAUGCACUACCCAAAUUCAAAGACUUUCCAAGGAAGUUUGACUGCGGCGGUAGCAUUCUGAUUUAUGAAGCUCGGUUAUCAUUUUUAAACCACAGCCCAGCUCCCAGUUUGACUUGACUGACAGUGACAGAUCCCCAGCACGUCUGUCAGGCAGCUCGGGCUGCUCCAUGUCCCUGUGUCACAAGUGGGCACAGCCCCAUGACCCCAGCCCUGAAAGUGUGCCCACCAGCAUCUCACUCCAAAUAUAAAGACAUAAAAUUAGUAAACAUCUGAUUCUACAAAAUCGUCUGUGCGUAAAUCCAAGCUUGCACUGCAUCCACUAUUGCAGUUAGAAAUGUCAGUCUUGCAAAAUAACCAAAGAAGACCAAAAGCCACCAGAAAUCUCAUACCAGACGCAUGAUCCUUCCAUGCCUGCGUGGAUAUUUGCUACUUCUAAAUACAGACAUUGAAUGCUCUGUCUCUCUCCCUACACCACACCAUUGCAUUUUCCAUAAACCACUUCAGAACAUAUUUGAACAUGCCUACUUACUAGGAGCAAAAUGUCAUACAACCCAAACAUCCUCCCCGUGUGGAGAAAGAACACUCCCUACUGCACUAGAGGAGUACGGACAGUUAUGAAGAUCUAAGCAGCGGAAACACGCCUGUCUGGAGUCCAAAGGAAUUACAUUAAAGAUGCUCAAGUGUCAUUUUAAGAGUCUGUACCUUGACAUCAAGCAGCCAAAGAUUCUUUUAUGGUCUUUCUUCAAACAAGAAGGCAGAAACACAAGUAGGGAUUUUCUUUUAUGCCCAGCAAGAUAAAAACCGAGCGUAAACACUGCAGUAUUUAUUCUCAUAGCAAUCCCAUGGAACACACUGUUACUCCCAUUUUACAGAUGCAGAACUGAGUCACAGAAGGACAAGCUGCCUCAUGGCUAUAAAGGUGGCUUAGGAAAAUAAGUGGAGGGCUCUGGGUCUGCAUCCAGUGUCUGAGCCACAAACUCAGCAUUCAUCCUUUGUAAUAAGGUCAGCUUUGCAUCCAAAAGCUACAAAGGUGCUAAAGGAAUUCUGUAAAUCCUCCUUCUCUAAAAGCUGCUAAAAGCUACAUGACAUUAAGAUGAGAACUGGUAAACCUGGGCUCCAGUAACACAUCCACUCAAGCAGCUCCAAAGAAAACGGGAAAAUAGGUGUUUCAUAGCUGGAGCAAGAAAGAGAAAAACAAAAUGUCUCUGCAAAUUAUUUUGUUUGUGUGAGUGAUGUGCUUUUGCUGAAAGACCGGUGUGUGCAAAAAGGGUAUAUUUUUGGUAUGUCAGCUUCAAUUACCCGCAAUCUGAGAGUGAAAAGCGACAGCCUUCUCCCAAUGAGCGCUUCCAAAGGAGCUGCCCAUCAGAGCAGAGCCCUGCUCCCCGGGUGACCUCUGCUGCUUUAUGGCUGGGCAGGAGGGCACCGAGCCAUUUCAUCUGAACUCAUUUGGAGAAAAGCGCUUGUUGGAUGCUGAUUUCCAGCAGCCGCUGUCCUCCAAGAGGAAUACUCCCAGUAUUUCACUCUGAAUGCUAACAGGGUCAGUCUGAACCCCUCUGCACUUUGCAUCUCGAUGCGCAUUCACGGCCAUUUACAUCAUUUUGUAGAAAAACGUUUGUGAGCGAGUGAGGAAGCGGAUCCCAGUAACUGUUGCUGGGAUUAUUACUAUGGGGAAUGGAAGGGAGAGCAGAAAGUGGUGCUAGAGUGAAACGCAUCAGAACGCCGCAGCACCUUGAGCUGCAGGCAAAGGCACAACUUUGGGCAGGAUACCCAACACUGAACCAGGCAGCUGUUCAUAGCCUGCUUGUUUUCUUGCCGUUCUGUAUUCACUAUUUAAACAGAAAUUACAGCCUCUUGUUUCACUCGCAUGGCUCGGAGGCCCCGUAAUCCCCCGUAUCCUUGGCUCUGUCACCGUGCCUGCUGACCCUACAGCGAGCAGGCUCUGACCACCAAAUGCGAGCAGAAUAAAUUAUCGCUGACACUCCAAUAUUUAAUUAUGCAGCUGUCAGAGCGGCCCUUUCGAAAUUCAUUUUAAUAAAGUGGGAACUUUUUCCUUUCAAGGUUAGAGUCAGGGGAGUCACCUUCUGUGUCAGGCUGAGGUCUCCACCAUGAGCUUUGCAUUCUUCCCCGAGAAGCCUGUCACUUGGCCUGAUAGAAGGACCAGAUAACGGCCCCGAUGUCUAUUGGCCUCCCCCGCCCUGCUGGAAUGAACAUCCUUCAUUUAAACCCACAAUAAUGAGGACCUCAAAGUCAGGCAGGCAGCCACAAGGGCAGCUCGUCAGGAGAAAAAAAUGGCUUCUUAUUAUAAAAUUCACUCCAUGUUAUAGCGGCAAUCUAAAAGCAAUCAUGUUCAUCUCACCGUUUUAACUGGUUAACCAGAAAUAUUUUACAUGUUAAAAAAAUGUGAACAGAAACCAAAUGUAUGAAGCACAGCAGCCUGUAUUUAUCCGCACCAAACUGAGACAAGUGGAGGAAUAUUGCUUUGGAUUUUGUGACGAGCAAAGUAUCCAGUUAAACCUUUAGGCAAACACUUAGAUACCAGAGCUACGGAAACUCCUUAUAAGCACGCAGUCCAUAACACACAACAUACACACACCAUAAUGCAUAUGGCAUAUCGAUCUUAUGUGCUUUCACAUUGAUCAUAUGUGCUUCUGAGGUACUUAAAUGAAAAGCUGCUGUGUGUGCAUACUGAGCUGUGCACACACACAUACAAGCAUAAUGUAUUGAUAUGCACAUGAAACCACCCCGUGUUACACAGUGCUGGCCAUGAGAAACCUUGCCGAGACUAUUUUAAAACACAGGCGUUCUUCAGCUGAGCCUUCAGAUUUGCAGCCUGUAAACUUUUCCUUUUUUCAGUGUGCAACUGGGAGAAAAAUAGACACAAUUUUAUCACACAGAACCAAAGAAUACGUGAGCAUUGUUGACCUAAGGAUGAAAGGGUGAGAAAGAAGGAAGAAAAGAGAAGGAGAGAAAGAAGAAAACAAAAGCGAAAACAAGCAAAAACUAACCAACAUUGAUUCCAAAUCUUCUUGUUUCACUGUGACUACACAUCUAAUUUCCAAGGUACAGUAACAACGUUAGUAAUAACUUUGGCUUACACACCAUAUUUCAUCCUGGGUUCCUGCGUGCUGUAUGAGCACCAGAGGUUUAGCUACACAACAUUUUCCCAAGUAUGAUUAUACAUCUUUUAGAAACGGGGAAGCAAAAAACACAUUCACUGUGUGUAAGCUGGGAACUGAAGUUCUUUCAGAAGCCCCACAUUUGCUCAUGAGAAAGGAGUUAAUGGGAUCCCAUUGCAUAGGUGCUGAGUGUCCCAAGGCAAUGAGUGAGCCAGUGCCUGACACAGAAAAACACAAACUUUUGCAAAAAAAAAAAAAAAUUUUUUUUUUUUUUACUUAAUUUGAUCCACAGUGAAGUCAAAGCCAAGAGAGAACAAUAUGACUCACUAGUACAAAACGUUUUAUUUUCUGGGUUCAUUAGCGCUAAUGAAGAACAGGUGUGCGGUACCAGGGGAAAUGCUGUGCUCAGCAGCGAUCCAGCACAUCCUGCCCAAGUCAGGCCCCAACAUUUGGUCUUUUGCACUGUCCCUGCGUGGGGGUGCACUCUGCAUCUCACAAACAAGGCACAAAUGAAUGGCUAUCCACAAAACGAGCCACGGAAAGUACGUAAUGCAUAGAAAAGGGGUAAAAGUUCACUCCUGCUUCACCGUUUUCCCAGAUUUGCAGGGUUGUGCUAGGAGACUUCACAUCUGAAGAUGAAGUGGAAAUAGCUCACAUGCUGGUUGUUUUCAAUGAGAGGUCAGAACUCCUCACCACAGAUGAGGUGCUUUCUAUCAACAUUUCUUUCUGAUUCAUUUCUUUGCCUCAUAUCCACCUAGCAGAGCUAACAGCACACAGUGGGGUUCACCCUGCUCAACAUCAGGUACCUACACAGCAGCCUUUGAGUAAAUGCUGAUGGCUGACUGACCCUUUGGAGGUACUGACCUACUAUCACACAUGCCUCAAGUAGUGGGAAUCUGGGCCUUGGACAGCAAUUUAUUGACUGUACAUGAAGUACACAGCCAACAGGAACCCACUUCCAAGAGUCCUACGCAUGUUUCUGGGCUAUAAAUAUUAACAACUGCUGCUCUUUUUGUACAACUUGGGCCAAGAUUAUCUCCCACUGCUUCCUGCUUCAGGUCCUUUCACUUCAUAUUUUUUCUGUGUAAUUUAACUUUGAUAGAGGCAAAUAUUUUGACACACUGUCUGUAUAUCUCAGAGUGUAAAGAGAUGAAUGCAUCUUCUCACUGGCCUGGAAUUCUCCAUAGAUGCUUACUAUAUAGCAACCACACAACAGGAAUUGAAAGUAAAACCCUAAUACAUAAAGAAAGUGUAUUUAUAUCUGUUAUGAGCAUAGGGAAAUAAGCACUUUAAAACAUCUUUGUCUUCAGUUUGUUUUGCCGUAUAGCUUCAGCUUCACACAAGAGCAAUACUCCCAAAGGUUUCUGAUGAACACUUCAGUUUGGGCAGCACAGUUCACCCCCUGGGGUAUGUCACAGUGUUCUUAUAACAAUGACAGUCCUGGGACAACAAUGACCCUUAUGGGUUCCCUCCAACGAGAGUUAUUCUAAGAUUCAGUACAGACUUGCUGAAUCCCACUUGUCAGUACUUACAGAAAAAAACAUAUAUAUAUUAUAUAAAUAUCCUAUUCUGCCACGUGCACACACCAAACAUCCUGGCUGAGUGAACAACUGUUGUAUGUAAACGAACAAUUGUUGGAUGUACAGAACAGCAAAGCCGUGAUUCUAAGGAGAAAACAAGGAAAGUGGCAAAUAAAUUCUGACUCGACGAGAAGCCUGUGCUAACCUGGCACUGAGAGACUUUUCAGUCCACAAAUUCCUUCCUGUGUAAAUUCAAAGAAACAUAACUAGAUUGAGCAUUGCUUUAAUACCUGCUGGUGUGGCUUCCCACAGUGUUCACUGGGUUGUUAAAGAUGACAAAGAUUUGCCUUGCAGAGACACAGUGAGAAAUACAGUCACAGAUGGGUUAAUUGUUCACUCCUCGGAUCUUACCAUUUUUAUUUUGGUUUAAAUCUAACCUGUUAUUAUAACAAGAACACUCCCUGGCCUUGUGUACAAGACUCAAAUAUAAUCAGCGAUAUCACACUGUCCCUUAAUAGAAGGUGCAAUAUAAAAAAGAUCAUUUAAGAUGCCAGUAGCUUCCCUCCUGACCCUGCCUGGCUGAGAGGCAAAUUGCAUUAGAAAAUGACAUGCCAUUCAUCUCAGGAGUAGUUGCAGGAACAUUUAGCUAAUUAAAUGAUUAAUAAAUUUAACACUGCUUUAUAAUUUCAUUUAGCCGUGUUGGAAAUCACACGGUGCACUGCGUGUGCACCGAAUGAGAUUAGGUGGGAGUUGUGGGUUUCACCGGCUGCCCUGGUAAUUGAGAUUAGUCUAUUACUACAGUGACCUUUUUAACUUUUAUAUUCUCUUGUUAAAGUGAAAUAAAAUUUUAUUCACUUUUAAGCCGUAUUUACUUAGUGAAAUUUACGUGAAAUUAAAGAAAUACUAAGCUGAGAAGUAUUUUUGUUAGCUGUUCAUUUUCUUCAUGCUCUUUUAAGCUUAUUUUGCACCUCUUUAUGAAUUCUUGUUUUAAUUUGGCUGCCUACACCACUGCUGCACACUUUGAAACAAACUCCCUUUAUCACUCCAAGUUCACAGGUAAAAAAUAAUGCACCCAAAUGUUGCAAAACCAAACAGCAGAGCAAUGACUACAUCCAACACCAGCACUGGGUUUGGAACAUGCAGUUUGGUACAUACCAAAAAGCCAUAAUAAAGACAUACCUAAAUAUUUGCAGAUUUACUGCAGCUUUAUCUGGAAGCUACUCUGGGAGUUGCUGCUAAAUGGGAAUCUAUCUGUUCUAGCAGUGUCAGCUAAGCAAGCACAAGGCUAUCACCACACCCAGCUGUGGGCAGCUGCUGUGUUUAUGUCAGAGGAGAUCUACACAGUUUUUGUACAUCCAUCUUCACACACAGCUUUAGCAAAAAUGACCUCACUUAUUCAGAAGCAUCACCACUCAACACAUAAUUAUUUCUUGUAUACACAGUGUUCAAACUCCCUUUCUUAGGGGGAGAAGGGGAGACAGAAAAGAGUCAGUUUCGACAUUCGACCCAACUUGUGGCACCUUCAGACAAUCAGCAUAGGUCAGAAGGCUAAUUCUCAGGUAGUUCAAAUAACCAAAUAAACUCAGAAUCCCUACAUAAAAUAACCUUUGUCUGUUCAGACUUAGCUUGCAGUUAUCUUCACGUUAAAAGCAUCAUCUAUUCACAUAAAAUUUCAUCAGUACAAGGACUCAUUUUAUCAGUUCUUGGAAAACUUGUCAGAAUUAUUGACACUUAAGCCAACUCCGAACAAAUUUUCAAUCAAUACGUCUAAUGCUAGGAGAGACGUUUCAUGUGUUUCCUCUUAAACAGAUGUGUGUUUAUAAAACAGAAAAAAAUGAAUUAAAAUGCAUAUCACUACUGAAGACUGGUCUCUAUCUGAUACACAUGGUAAGCCACUUCAGAAAGUACGUUUGAAAGCGACGUCAGAACAGUGCUGGCUUUUUCUGGGCUCCUCAUCACUCAAGAAAGGGAUAAACUACUUGAUAGACUGCUCAUACAAUAUGGGUGUAAAAUCUAUGGUGGCUGAAGUGAAAUGAUGUAGUGGAAAUGGGAUCUGACAAGAGCAAGUAAUGGUUCUGCUCACUUACUCUGCUAAAAUAAAAUUCCAAUAAAAAUGGGCCCUACAUGUAGGAGAAAAACUAUAUUUUCAGCAAACACAUUAAAUAUACCAACUACAGAAAAAAAAAAAAAGACAAAUUAUAGGUGAUAAUUAUAACAGCUAUUUACUGUGAUAAUUGGAAGGGAAAAGUAUUCCUAGAUUUCCAAACAGCACCAUCACCACAGAUGUGAAGAAUCAUCAACAGGAUACAGAGGUGCAUCACUGUCUUGAUGUAAGGAAAUAAAUUCAGGUUCUUUUGACUCAGUGACUAAGGUCCACCUGGUUUCAGCAGGACCAGAUUUCAACCCAAAAUCAGGAGACUAUUUUCUGGCCCUCAGGGCAGCAAAAGCCAAGGCCACGGCUGUGGGGGAAUAGUAAUGCCUCCCCUACUUUCAGUUGUGACUAAUGCAGACGCCUCUAUCUUAACGUCUAGACUUCCUUUAACAUCAAUAGAGAAAACUGCACAUUUUGUGAACAGUUCAUCUAACCUAAUUUAGUCAUUUACCCUACAGCAAGAGAAGCUGUGGCACUGAAGUGCCAUCUUCCCUCCUUGGACUACAAAGGGAAUGAAAACCUGCUAAUUUCAUGGGAAGAAAAAUGCCACAAAGCUUCAAGUUCUUGACAAGAACUGAAAAAUAGUAAAUUCACUCAGAGACCUCCAGAACUAAGCUCCUUCUCUUGGAAUAUGUGUAGGAUCAAGAGCUGUUACAAUGCUUCCGGGACAAAUGCACGAUACUUGGUGUACCAAUUGGUACCGAUUUAGCAGCUUUGACUUGGGAAGUCCUUUGAAAUCUGAUUCUUAUAUUCAGAACUCGCCCCAGAAAUAAAAUUAGUCAUGGCUAUUCUUAUUUUCAUAUAUAUAUAUUUUUUAUGGGAGUGGUCACUGUCAUUUGGAUGGGUAUACUAUUUCCUCUGGGGAAGCUAAUAUAUGACGCUGAUGAUCUGAUGACACGUACUCUAUAGACAAUAUCUUACAAAUGUCAGCGAGAAUACUGUUUUCUAUAAAAACAACAACAUAUGUAUAAAAGAAGCUAUACCUCUAAAAAAUAUAGCUUGUACAUUGGGCUUUCUACAACUGAAAGUGUAAUGUGAACUUUAUUUCUUCAAAACAAAGAUUAUUUAUGCUGGCAACCACAGAUACGACAGGAUCUAAAUAGCCAUUAUCCACUCACAACUGUGAGAAGCAGGAAAACCUAUCCAAUUUUUCCAGGAACUUAUGUCCAUUACUGUCUUCAUAAGUCACAAAUGAUGUUCCUUUAGACAAGAUCAACUGUACAUUAUUAAAAGGGAGGAAACCUUUAAAAUGACUGUUGCAUACAAACAGACAAAACUCAGUAAAGACUUGCAGAGCUCCCAUUAAUAAAAAAACGAGCCUACAGAAAAAUGUCAUAAAUGUUGAAUAGAUUGAUUAUUUCUUGAAGACUUUUUUUUUUUUUUUUUUUUUUUUUUUGCAGUUCUAGAAAUCAAUCUUUGGGGGAUCUGAUAGUAUUAAAACUCCAGGAGCUAAAAUGGUGAUUACUAAAGUACAUAGUUUACCUUUUAUCCACACCUACUUAUAUAAUAUCCUCUUUUGCAUCAAGGUAAGUUGACAGCUGUAUUCAGUUGUAACUUAAAUAUGUCUUAAAGACUACCCUUCUGAGUUCCAAUAUCAUGCACUGAUGUGGAAGUAUUGUCAUUGUAUCUUAUAAUUUGCACUGGGAUACUGUGUAAGGUCAAGUUUGUGUUUCAGUAAAUACUCUUUGAUUUUAAUUACCUCAAUAUAAGAAAUGAAAUCUUGGUUCCAGUAUCAGCAAUAUCAAUUUUAAUUGAUAUGAGCAAAGGAAGAUUUCAUCCCAGGUUACUUGAUAUGCACCUACCUGUACUUAUGGGGUAUGGGGUACCAUGGCUCAGAGUCUAGGAUUCACGUAGCUUACUGUCAAGUCAAAACCAAACCUUCCAAAACAUCUCAUUCAAAUGUGGUAUGAAAGGUCCACAGGAGCUUUAUAUCAAUCACCUUUCUUACAAUCAUUAUGUGUACAAAUGAGUUAGUCACGCUGUUAAGACUGUCAUCACUGAGGGCAAGAAUCAUGUGGGUCAAAGCUAAUUUAGACACUCGGCCACGUGAAUUUCUAGGACAGAAUAAAAAUACUAAUGGGAAAUGAUUGUCUUAUUCUGAAAACUAUUAAAGCCGCAUUAAUUAUCCAUUGUCAGUAACAGAUCAGUUGCUACAAAGGUGUUAUGGCCUUUAUAGACUGAGCAACACAUCUAUUGCCUUGACUCUAGACAAGCCAUCCAAUCCAAUCACACACAGAUUCUGGGCAGCAGCCAUGUUACUAGGACAGAACCAGUGACUUUCAGCAUGUCAAAAUAAAACAAAUUCAAAUCAAAACAAGAGAACAAAAAUCUUCAAGAAAUUCAUCCAAUGACUCAUGAAACUGACUCAAAACAACUUGUUCCAAAAAACCCCAUGUAUUUAUUCUUGAAAAAUAAUCAACACAAAAAACAAACAACUAAAUAACAAAAGACACAUUUACUUUCCUUUAAACUCAUGCAUCAUGUGUCCUCUCAGUCCAUCUUCACCAAACAAUCCCCAGAGAUAAAAGCCUUUCUCUUCUCUACAAACAGCCCCGGACAACAAAACUUCCCUCUUCUCUUCAGGAAGAGGGGAUUCAGACCAACUAUUCAAAACUGCUCUAAGCUCUGACUGCUAUCUCUUGUCUCUAGCAUUUCCAAAAGCUCCUUUCCUCUCAUCAUUACAGGUGUAGAGAUUUUAGACUCUUAACUUUGGUCUUCUGAAUUGCACUCAAAUUAGAUAUCUAGGAUAGAUAAGCUCAGGGGAGACCUUAUCACUCUCUAAAACUACUUGAAAGUAGGUUAUGGUGAGGGAGGAGUUGGCCUCUUCUCCUGUGUAACUAGUAAUAGGACUAGAGGGAAUGGCCUCAAGUUGCACCAUAGGAGAUUCAGGUUGAAUAUUAGGAAAAACAACUUCUCUGAAAGAGUGGUCAGGCACUGGAAUGGGCUGCCCAGGGCGGUGGUGGAGUCACUGUCCCUGGAGCUGCUCAAGAAACAUUUAGAUGUUGUUCUAAGGGACAUGGUUUAGUGGGAAAUAUUGGUGGUAAGUGAACGGCUGGACAAGACGAUCUUGAAGGUCUUUUCCAACCUUCGUGAUUCUAUGAUUGUCUAAAUUAGAGUGUUAGUUGCACCUACAAGGACCUUUUAAUUAUAGUUCCUAAGACAUGGAAAAACAGCAGUGUAACUUGCACUGGAGCUUGGAAAUUGCUCCUUCCCAGUUACUGGCCAGGCCAGCAUCCCCCUGUCCACAGGUUUUACCACAGCUCUUUUCCUGUUUUUUAUGGCAACUUCUUUUAAUUUAAUUCCAUGUUCUGGCCAAAAAACAAAAACAAAACAAGUCAACAACAACAACAAAAACAACCCACAAUAACAACAAAGAAAACAACAGGUAAACUGAAGCAGAGAUUAUACGUCUUAAAAGUAAUCUGACUAUUGAUUGUUCUACAUAAAUAUAUAACUAGUAGUGGCAAAGCAGCUGUUACUUUUCACACAUGAUGAGGCACAGUGAUAUCUCAGUUACCAAGAAGUGGCAAAUGAAAAUAUUAUAAGCAGCUGGAUUACAGCCCUGAGUUUCAUUUCUAACAGUGAUUUGACAGGUCGGAGAUGUCAAACUCAUGACGAGUGUGAUCUGACAUCCUAGUUAUUGAAAAUGGGACAUCUUUAUUAAAAGUAAAUGCAGCAGUGCUAAGGGGAAAGCACCCCUACACCUGGUCCUUAGUCAAACACUGGUGUCCACAACAGCUUGGGACAUUUGCACAGGAGCCUGCUGUUGCCUCUGGACAUUCCUAAAGAUUGAGGAGGAAUCCAUGUGUUGAAUCAAUUCUCCUGGCUCAAUCAGGAAAGAGCAGCUUGACCUCCCACUGUAAACCAAGAAACAUUGCAAGGUAUUUUCACACAUUUUUAUUCUUAUUUGUUGUUCAUAAAGUGAAUUCCAGACUAACUCUGAGCAUGUAGGUCUCAAUGCUACUUCCUCCCUCCCUUCCUCAAGUAGAAAAGAGUACACUUAAAUGCAUCUUGAAUGGCUGCCUCAGUAAAAUUAUGUUGGAUGCACAGAACAAGUAACGCCAUUCAAAGGAAAGAAAGAAAUGCUGUUACUUGUGUGAAGGGAAACCUGGCAAAUCUUGUAGCUCACGAUGAUGGGAAUUUAGCUGUUUUAAUUUCUGAGAUGGUUUAGUUUUAAUUGGAAUCAAUAAUGAUUCCCAAACUAAUUUUUAUGCCAGUGUCAAAUCUCUGCCUUGCAACCACUGAGACCAACCCAGCAAGCUUGGUGUGCUGAGCUCCAUAAGACCCAACUCUACUCAUGACUGACAUAUCUCACAGGGCUACGACUCGCAUUAAUAGGCUAUAAUCAAGGCCACAAUCUCCGUGAAGCCCCAACACGGUGGUUUGUGGCCAACAGACCUGCAUAAUCUUGCAGAUCUACACCAGAUGCCUCUGCUGGCACAAGCUCAAACCACCCUUUGGCUUGGUGCGAGCCAGCCGCACUGCACAGAGGAUGCAGAUAUUCCCACAAGAUUUGCCGGCACUGGUACCACACCCCUGGUCAUAAUGGAUGAUUUUCAGUGCUGAUGAGGAAGGGAAAGGGAAACUGAGUGUGUGCUGGUCAUCUUCCAGCAGCCUGACCUGACUGACAGCACAGCCGGCGCCUAUCCACUGGAAGAGAUGUCUGAACUGAAGAUGGAUUAGUGGUCAUGUCGGCUGGGCCAAAACAUCAGUUUCCACAAAGCUUGACUCUAUGCCUCUGGGUCCGUUUUAAAUGCCAAAAUGAUUUUUUCCUUCUUUUCAGUUGAGAAGCAACUGUGUACAUCACCUGCAGGAUGGUGUGUUUGCCCAGUCAGUUACUGAAGUGACUCUAGGCCCGCUACCCCUGCAAAAAGCACCACCAGCGUUAAACAAAUUAUUGUAAGCAGGAGGUCAGCUAAUCCUGCUCUCGGCGACCUCUGACCAGCACGCCAAAGGGAGGCAACGAAAAUUCAAAUGCACUGCUGAGGGAGACAGAAUUGUUAAAGCUGCCUUUUCUUCUCGCCGAGACAGGGUAAAACAAACUUCUAAAUGCUAUUAGAGAGCAAACCUCCGUAAAUAGGGAGAAGUGGCUCUCCGAGUCUUCUCCUUUAUGAUUAAUACGUUGUCAAGUCCUUCAAGUGCUUUCCCAUAAUGCAGAUAUUUAUUGUGGUUUCUUUUUUUUUUUUUUUCUUUUAAAGAUUCCUGCCUCAAAUCAGUCACUUUAUCUCAAUAUUUCACGGGUAACAAAAAUAACAAGAACAAAGGCAAGCAAAGGCACGGCCUGAACCAGACAAAAGGGAAUUGCAGUUGCACCAGAUCAAAGCCACCAGCUCUACAGAGGGACCCGAUUCCUCACUUUGCUGAGGCAAAAUGAUAAAAAAAAUGUUCCUGCCUGAGUUAAAACUGUGAGGGGUAAGGUAAGACAUCCAUGAAAGUUAAAGUGAAAGAAGAUAGGCCAGCCUUUCAGACUGGUGUGUUUAGAGCAGAAUUUUUCACUUAAGUAUUUACUUGUAGGGUUUAGGGGCAACCAAACAGAAGAAAGUAGGCCAAGAAUAUUUUAAUACUUGCACUAACGGCAACCUUAUUCACAACAAUGGCAUUUCUCCUCAUUUAGAGAAGUUUCAGUACUGGAAUAGCUAAGCUAGAAGUAUCUACACGCCCCAGCACUUCUUGUUUUUCUUUGGGACAAUGAACUCUCAAUGUUUUGAAAGUCACAACACUCAUAAACAAACCAAGUGAAGACUUUUCCUGCCUUCACUGUCAAGGUAGUCAAAUACAUAAUGUUUUUAUUGAAAAACUAAAACAGGUACUCGAAACACCUUCCCACUUCCUCUAGCUACUAACAAUAUAGCGGAAAAAUGUACGCAUCCAUUUGUAUGUUUUUGCUUGUGGGAUCUGCUAUCAUUUCUGUAAACAGAAGGUGAGAUGUGGAAAUUCCUUUGCAUCAAAGAGCGCAAUAAACACAAGAUAAACAAGUUACACCUCAAGUACUACACUGAGUAACAAGUUUUCAAGAGCCCUUCCAGAGAUGUAGAUUAGCGAUUGCAGGUGAUGACAGGGAGGGACACUGUUUUACAGAAUAACUCCCAAAGCAGAUGACAUUGAACCCAAAAUGUAGCAGAAGACAAGGUAAAUGGGACAACCUGUUUUCAGUGCAACUGGUCCAAUACCCUACCCUUGCUUUCAAAAUCUGUGUUUAGGAAGACUUGUUGGAAACUCUAUGAUUUCAGUAACUCUCUCUUUUAGCAGUUUUGGUAGGAGGGAUUUGUUUUUCACACGUGACUAGCAGCUUGUUCACCCAGGGAAGGCAAAAGUAAAAAAUCAAGUGAAGAAAAAAAGAGACCUCCCAACAUAAAAAUUCAGUGGAAACCGAACAUAGAUGACAAAGUCCAAACCAUUUUGACUGUUCCAAAAAACCAAUGUAUUCCCACUCACCCAUUUUCUCAGGUUUGAGUGGAGAGCUGUAUUAAGGACAAAACACUUUUUGGACCACUGAUGGCAGAUGGAAGGUAGGUUUCAAAUACAGGCACAAGUUCCCAGCAAAAGAAAACCAUUCCUCUCCCUCAGAGUACAGAGCACAACCCCAGAAAAUGUAUGUUUUAAUCAAAUUUUUGUUACAAAUACAUGGAAUUUUCUGAUUUAUCACCUUAUAUUUCUCCAAGACACAGCUUUUGAAAUGAAAACCUGAUGGAACUACAGUCCGUAGGCACAGUUAUAUCUCAUAUAAGCACACAAAGCUUGCCACUGAUUUCAGCAAGGGUCACAUUUAAACAAAUUUAAACUAAAUGUUCAGCUUCUGGUAGUUCCCAAGAUAAACAUGAAUGUGCCCCUGUGAUGUGAUAGCCGCUAAUGCAAAGGCACUGCUUUGUUGAUAUACAAAACCUUCUGCGAGCCAGAAACUGGUUAUUCUUAGUCAUCAAGAUGAGAUUCAAAUCUUCGGGGUAUUUGUCUAACCCUGUAGGCUUAAUCCUUUCCGAGUUAGAAAUUAUAAUAAACCAGAAGUAGGUUAGCAUUGGUUGUGGAUCACUGCAACGUGUAAAUUUGUUGGUCAGAUUAUGGGCUGACCCUACAUUUGAAAAAUCAUCAAUAGCAUAAUUACCAAAAAUACUACCAAAAUCCUGACUAGAUAUAUUUAAAUGGCCACAAAAAGACUUGUAUUUGAAGGGUGAAAAGGCAGGAACUGAUUAGCUUCAUGCUAGAAAAUUGACUUCAAAGUCAUCAGAAGUUCUCAGGACUGGAGGGUUUUUAUUGCCAAAGCAGGAACAAGGGGGGAGCUGCUGAAUGCAGCUGAUAUUCCAUUGAUAACUAAGUAGGAGAUGUAAAGCUGCACAAAAGAAGUUUAAAUAGGUUUUCAUGAUUCAGGCCAAAAGACAGUCUCACGUAGAAAACAUCUAGCUUUGUGCAGUGGCCCAUUUUCAACCAUGGGUUGAGAUCCUCUCACGCUUCUUUUGUUGUUGUUUUUGUAGGACACUUCCUGUUUAGGAAGAACUGGGGUUUUACUGUAAAUGAUUCCAAUAAUAUACUUCUCCUGCCACAACCACAACUCCAGUCCCUGUCUCUCCAAAAAUAAUACUAAUAACAAGUGGUGAGUUCAUGACACGUUACCUCGUGAUGCCAUUUGGCAGAAAGAAGAAACUGGAAGGUUGGUACGACACUGCUACAGAGAUCAAUCUUGUUUGAGCAUUUGUUUUUAUUACCUAAUGCAAUUGCAAAACACUUGCUUUAAGUAUAUUCCCCCUUCCUUCCUCUAUAUCAUUCUCACCCAAACAGCAUAAUGAAGCUCAUGAGUUCUGUAAGUGCCCCUUUGAGAUACCGCGUAGUUCUGCCACUGUUACCAGGAAGGCACACAGACAGACACAGCCUUUGAUUGCUGGCAUGCAAUGUAAUAUUUAUCAUUGCUACAUAUUCAUUUACUUCCUCAUCAGUGUCUUUUUUUGUUUUUAAUUUACUCGUUUACAUCCCUUCACAUAAUGCUCCUUUUUACUCCAUCACAAAACCAGAAAGCAAGAUGUGUUUUCAGUCAUUUGUAGAUUCCCAACUAAAGGAUCAAACUUUUGAGAAAGAUUAUCUUAUUUUCCAGACGUGAGAGCUUUAUUUUAAACUGAUCUGAGUUCAUUUAAAACAGAGCAGGGAUAUAAUGGAUUAUGAUCUAAACUUCAAGAACAUAAUUAUAUGGACAUAUGGAAGAAAGGCUGUAAAUUCACAAAGAGCUGAAUGAUCAUUGACAGGAUCAUGCACUGUUUUGAAAAGGGAAACAACACCGAAGCAAUGUAAAUAAAUCCUAUGUAAUAAAUACUUGAUCUACCUCCAUAUCGAGGUUUUUCUCAGAUACUAAAAUCAGGCCCUCUGUGUACUGUAAUGAGUUGGGAAUUACAUUUUCUUACUUGGUAUAUAUAACUGAUGGUGUAAAACUCAGAAAAGAAGGGAAAAAACAGUCAUUCCAGGGAUCAGUGUACAACUGGAAAUACUCAUCAUCUCAAGACAAACUGCUGAAUGUUAAGAGCUCAAAACCCAUCUUUCUUUAGUAUAAGGGUACAGAUGGUGUUGUCCAGGGGAAAGUCCAGCUCAGGAAUCUCCCCUAGCUCUCUCUUUCCACUGCAUAUUGCUCCCCUAAAGACCUCGAAAAGAGCUGUUAAUCGCUAUUAACUGAUUGCCACUACUCAAGGUAAAUGGUGAUAUUUUUUAUUGUCAGUUGGAAGUGAAUGCGUUCUGGUGUAUUCCAGGAGCUAGAUCUGCCACGCUGCUGACUCUAUAGCACAAGAUCCCCAUUGAAAACGGUCUUUUUUUAUUUUUUAUUUUUCUAAUGUUCAGCACCUCAAAAACAUUUCCGUGAACUUCUUGAAUUUCUCCAAUACAAAAUACAUCUUAGUGGAAACCAAACCUUUGGUUUUCAACCCAUUUUCUAGCAAGAAACGCUCGUUUUGUUAUUGAGAAACGAUGUUAUUUUAACACAAAAUAGUUAGAAGUGAGUGAGAUUAUUUCCAAUUUUUUCUUUUAAAACCUUUUGGGUGUUGGGUUGUUUUUUUUGUUCUGUAGUCAGUGAGUUGCCCCGCCUGUCUUAGCUUUUUGACACCUUAAUGAUGAUUUGAAAGAGAAACCAUUUUUCAAAUGACCUCAAAGGACCUAACCCUACUUUUAUAGCUUCUCUCAGCGUUUGUAAAAUAAUUUGAGAUUUUGUUUGGAGGAUGAUGACUACGUAAGUUCAGAGUGCUUGUAGUAAGAAAGUAAGACAGAAGAAGAAAAGACACAAUGUAUUUUUAAUCGAAUUGCCUGGAAUCUUUUUUUUUUUUUUUUUUUUUUUUGCCUAACUUGCUCAUCUUAUAACAUGAAAAUACAGGGGAACUGAAUGAUCAAGCAACUCCCCAUUAAAAAAAUGCAAAUAACCCAUUUUUAAUUUAAAAGAUAAGCUAAUUAAAAAUAAUGGCUGUGGACGGUUCCUGACAAAGCACUUCAAAAACAAGAACCACGUAUUUCAUGAGACUUUAGUGUUUUUUAAUUAAGAUGAUUUUUCAUUUCCCCUCUUCUUGAAUUGUGAUAAUAAAAAGCCGCAAUUGGAAAUGAAGUUGUUUUUUUUCCCAUAGAAAAGUAAAAAGAAGCAAGACUAAUGUUGCCCCUAAGUGGGAAGAAGAUAAAAAUUCCAGGCAGUUCCACUUGGCUUUAAAAGCUGCCCACAAAUUUUUAAUCAGGUGAAACGCUGCUCAUCAUCCAGCAGUAAAGCUGUCCACUGGUGUUACAGAAUUAUAGAAUGGCUUGCAUUGGAAGGGAUUCGUAAGAUCAUCUAAUUCCAACCCCCAUGUCCCAUCAGCACUGCCAAGAUCCAAGCAAGGCUUGGAGUGACGGGGCUCGGUUCUCCUCCUCCAGACUAGGCAGCAGCAUCCAGCUCUGUACUGUUUCCCUAGGCUGGAUGUAUCAAUACUCUACAGCUCUUUUGAACUACUCUGGAGACACAAACCAGUGUAAAUGGCCAGGUGAGGUAGAUUUGCACCCCUUUUCAGCCAGCGUACGGGUGCAAAGCAGAUAAUGGAUUCUAAUCUGGACACUGAUGUCCACUGUGCUGUUUUCCAGAGAUAGCAAGGAGAAGAGCAGACACAGAUUGCAGCAAACAGACACAAGUACAUAACAUCCACAUGACCCAAGCAGGAUUAGAAGAUACAUAUUUCUUGGAAAUGUUGUGUUUGUGGUCAUAGUCUUAACAAGAGGAGCAAUGUGGACGAGAGAGCACGUGUGGCACUGCAAAUCACUGAUGCAGUUUCUGAUAGGGAAGAGGUACCAAGUAUUGGGGGAGGAAUGCGUGCAGAGAGCCUAAAGGGCAGAGCAGCCCCUGAUGGGUAAGAACCACAUCCUUCCAGACUAAAUUAUUUUGCGAUUCAAUGAUAACUUGCCUUUCCUGUGCAUCUGUGCAGUCCGACCACUCUGUUUUACAGCUGGUUAGCCUACAUUCUGUUAACUGGAGUACUGUACUGAAAAGUCAUCACCUAUUUCUAAUUCCAACGUACACAAGGCUUACAGCCAUGGUGUAAGCACACACGGAGCCUGAAGAAAAUAAGACACUAUUUACCAUCCACUCUCCUUGCCCUGAAAAGCACAAAUUUACAAGUCUCUGUACCUUUUUGGGUUUAUAACCAUGGGGUGAGAAAAAUCCCCUUGCACACUGGAAAGGUGGGGUUCAUGAGUAAUCAGGAAACCUUUGUAGGCUUGUAAAAUGCAAGAGGCAUACCUUUUCAGCUCAUAGGUCAUAUAUUAUGAACAGAGCCCGCAGUUAUUAUACAAUCAAAUUUUAUAGAGUUUAACUGACUCUUUGAAAGCAAUCUAAGGUGUUUAAAAUGAGAAAACUCCAAGAAAAACAGUCUGGAGUAUCUGAAGAUGCUUGCAAAGCUGUUAAGUAAUUCAUUUGAGUUGUGUUUCUUGCUGCAGAAUUUAUCAAGUUGAGAGAAAUACAUGCCAUCAGCUUUCAAUCAGAAUAUUUAGCGGUGCUAACACUUUUCCAACACUAAUAUAGGGUCUUUAGAAAAAGCCAGCCCAUUUCCCCUUCUUGGAAUGCAAGAAAAGAUGACUUACUUUAUUUUUACCAAUUUAAUCUUCAAAACUUCAAAGUUUGUUUUCUGCUCUCUCUCUCUCUUUUUUUUUUUUAAGGCAGAAACCCAGUCUCCAUAGGAUUACAGCCAAAUAUGUGCAACAUCAGAGUACACCUGGAAGUCAUUAAGACCUGCACUUCAAAUCUUCCUGCAAGGAGAAGGGGGGAAUCCAUCCUCCCCUUCUCAAUGUUGACACCCUGUUUCUAUUAGGGAAACCUUGAGCCAGAGGUGUUCAAAAUAAGGAGUUAAACUGCAAACAAACACAUUAUAAAGAAACCUGCAAUCCUGCUCCAGGGUAGGGUCAGAGGCCAAUUAUGUCAGUUUGAGAUAGACAGAAACCUCAUAAAGGACCAGAAAACUCCCAAAGAAUAGCAUGAAAGCUUUCAGAGGUGCUUAAAUGUGUGAAUAUUUAACACUGAAAUGCUCAGGAAUAAUUUAACUUCUCAAUCGUGUUCGCUUAAAAAUCUUAAGUAGAAACGAACUAAAUCAUUCAUUCUUUCAUUGUAAUUUUCUUGAGAUUUAGGCUCAAUUCCAUGACAUAUUUACAUUUCUUUAAAUAAAGUGCUAAUAUGAUUUAGAA